RNAcentral lists this ribosomal RNA (466 nucleotides) under uncultured bacterium. RNAcentral describes it as "bacterial SSU rRNA". It matches the Rfam family "Bacterial small subunit ribosomal RNA", at positions 330 to 793 of the family's 1533-position model. The record is from RNAcentral.
ACCAGACUCCUACGGGAGGCAGCAGUGAGGAAUAUUGGUCAAUGGGCGAGAGCCUGAGCCAGCCAAGUCGCGUGAAGGAUGACGGCCCUACGGGUUGUAAACUUCUUUUGUCAGGGAGCAAUUGAGUCCACGUGUGGGCUUAGCGAGAGUACCUGAAGAAAAAGCAUCGGCUAACUCCGUGCCAGCAGCCGCGGUAAUACGGAGGAUGCGAGCGUUAUCCGGAUUUAUUGGGUUUAAAGGGUGCGCAGGCGGGAGAUCAAGUCAGCGGUAAAAUGUCGGGGCUCAACCCCGGCCGGCCGUUGAAACUGGUUUUCUAGAGUUGGAGAGAAGUAUGCGGAAUUCGUGGUGUAGCGGUGAAAUGCAUAGAUAUCACGAAGAACUCCGAUUGCGAAGGCAGCAUACCGGCUCCAUACUGACGCUGAGGCACGAAAGCGUGGGGAUCGAACAGGAUUAGAUACCCCGGUAA